UACGGAGGGUGCAAGCGUUAUCCGGAUUCACUGGGUUUAAAGGGUGCGUAGGAGGGCAGGGAAGUCCGUGGUGAAAUCUCCGAGCUUAACUCGGAAACUGCCGUGGAUACUCUCUGUCUUGAAUCCCGUGGAGAUGAGCGGAAUAUGUCAUGUAGCGGUGAAAUGCUUAGAUAUGACAUAGAACACCAAUUGCGAAGGCAGCUCGCUACACGAAUAUUGACUCUGAGGCACGAAAGCGUGGGGAUCAAACAGG
Molecule: ribosomal RNA, 253 nt
Filed under: uncultured bacterium
Lineage: Bacteria
Description: partial 16S ribosomal RNA
Rfam family: Bacterial small subunit ribosomal RNA
Source: RNAcentral